GGAGGUUGUGCCCUUGAGGCGUGGCUUCCGGAGCUAACGCGUUAAGUCGACCGCCUGGGGAGUACGGCCGCAAGGUUAAAACUCAAAUGAAUUGACGGGGGCCCGCACAAGCGGUGGAGCAUGUGGUUUAAUUCGAUGCAACGCGAAGAACCUUACCUACUCUUGACAUCCAGAGAACUUACCAGAGAUGCAUUGGUGCCUUCGGGAACUCUGAGACAGGUGCUGCAUGGCUGUCGUCAGCUCGUGUUGUGAAAUGUUGGGUUAAGUCCCGCAACGAGCGCAACCCUUAUCCUUUGUUGCCAGCGGUUCGGCCGGGAACUCAAAGGAGACUGCCAGUGAUAAACUGGAGGAAGGUGGGGAUGACGUCAAGUCAUCAUGGCCCUUACGAGUAGGGCUACACACGUGCUACAAUGGCGCAUACAAAGAGAAGCGACCUCGCGAGAGCAAGCGGACCUCAUAAAGUGCGUCGUAGUCCGGAUUGGAGUCUGCAACUCGACUCCAUGAAGUCGGAAUCGCUAGUAAUCGUAGAUCAGAAUGCUACGGUGAAUACGUUCCCGGGCCUUGCACUCCCCGCCCGUCAAAA
This 583-nucleotide ribosomal RNA is filed under the name Enterobacterales bacterium. Its description in RNAcentral is "bacterial SSU rRNA". It matches the Rfam family "Bacterial small subunit ribosomal RNA", at positions 819 to 1402 of the family's 1533-position model. The record is from RNAcentral. Lineage: Bacteria; Pseudomonadati; Pseudomonadota; Gammaproteobacteria; Enterobacterales.